UUAUAGUUCAUAUGGAAUGGACCGUACUCGGGAGGCAAAGAGUUGAUGAUAAAUUGUACCAGAAAGUUCUCAUCCACAGUCAUCCCAAGAGUCUUAAGUCUUGCUGCAAUGUUACUCAUUUCAGUAACAUGCUCAUACAUGGUACGAGAACCAUCAAAUUUCAUGGUGGUUAAGGUACUCAUCAGUGUGCCAGCAAGUGAUUUGUCAGCUGUUUGGGAACGUUCUUCCACAAACUUCAUAUAUUCCUUAGCAUUCUCAGUUUUAUGGAUAGUAGACUUGAUAUUCUUUG
RNAcentral lists this long non-coding RNA (289 nucleotides) under Olea europaea (common olive). Its description in RNAcentral is "long non-coding RNA (OEUR_LNC007508)". The record is from RNAcentral. Lineage: Eukaryota; Viridiplantae; Streptophyta; Magnoliopsida; Lamiales; Oleaceae.